UACGUAGGGGGCAAGCGUUGUCCGGAAUCAUUGGGCGUAAAGAGCGUGUAGGCGGCCCGAUAAGUCCGCUGUGAAAGUCCAGGGCUCAACCCUGGAAUGCCGGUGGAUACUGUCGGGCUCGAAUCCGGAAGAGGUGAGUGGAAUUCCUGGUGUAGCGGUGAAAUGCGCAGAUAUCAGGAGGAACACCAACGGCGAAGGCAGCUCGCUGGGACGGUACUGACGCUGAGACGCGAAAGCGUGGGGAGCGAACAGG
Molecule: ribosomal RNA, 253 nt
Filed under: uncultured bacterium
Lineage: Bacteria
Description: partial 16S ribosomal RNA
Rfam family: Bacterial small subunit ribosomal RNA
Source: RNAcentral